AUUGAACGCUGGCGGCAGGCUUAACACAUGCAAGUCGAGCGGAGAUGAGGUGCUUGCACCUUAUCUUAGCGGCGGACGGGUGAGUAAUGCUUAGGAAUCUGCCUAUUAGUGGGGGACAACAUUCCGAAAGGAAUGCUAAUACCGCAUACGUCCUACGGGAGAAAGCAGGGGAUCUUCGGACCUUGCGCUAAUAGAUGAGCCUAAGUCGGAUUAGCUAGUUGGUGGGGUAAAGGCCUACCAAGGCGACGAUCUGUAGCGGGUCUGAGAGGAUGAUCCGCCACACUGGGACUGAGACACGGCCCAGACUCCUACGGGAGGCAGCAGUGGGGAAUAUUGGACAUUGGGGGAAACCCUGAUCCAGCCAUGCCGCGUGUGUGAAGAAGGCCUGAUGGUUGUAAAGCACUUUAAGCGAGGAGGAGGCUACUGAGACUAAUACUCUUGGAUAGUGGACGUUACUCGCAGAAUAAGCACCGGCUAACUCUGUGCCAGCAGCCGCCGCGG
This 501-nucleotide ribosomal RNA is filed under the name uncultured bacterium. Its description in RNAcentral is "partial 16S ribosomal RNA". It matches the Rfam family "Bacterial small subunit ribosomal RNA", at positions 30 to 523 of the family's 1533-position model. The record is from RNAcentral.